UACACAUCUCUAACUCUCUCCCUCUCUUUCCAUGUUCAUUCGGCAACCCCCAUUCCUCACUCGCCCUCGCCCUCGCCCUCGCCCUCGCCCUCGCCGUCUCGACUCCCUAUUUAUCUCUCGGCGAUGCAAAAGCAACGACACGGUGGCGCAACCAAGCAACGCUCUCUCUGCCUACUAAUAAAGUAUUUCAUUCUUUCCAGGAUGAUGCGAAGAAACAUGACAGAGGAGCCAAGAAUCGGUACACUGACACGGUGGUUCGCCGAUGUACGAGAAUGACGAGGCUCGGUGAGUUAUCUCACUCUCUCUUGCUUUCUCUAACACUUCGUCUCUCACUGUUUCUGUAGCUGCGGCGAGGAGGUGGGAGUCAUAUGGCUGGCAACAAACGGGUUGAGAUGUGAGGCUGGAGGCAGUGUCGAACCAUGGGGCUACGGGGAGAGUUGGCGACGAUGAUGGAGCACAUACCAAUGGGGCUUUCUACGAUUUUUGCUUGGGUGGGGAUGACAUUUCUGAUGACAAGCAAGGAUCACGAGGAAAAGUUUUAGAUGGAAAUGAUGGUACUGCACCAAAGAGUUGCCCGGUGUUCAGAUCCCAAUCAAGUGACCAAAAAGCAGAUACCUAGUUGUAAUUUUUUUAUGGUCAAGAUUAUUAUGUUUAUAGACAAUGCCUUAUGAUUUUUGAGUUAAUUGAGUUAAUUAGGAGUGUUAUAUUUGUUCCAAAAUUUGUAACUAUCUCAUUGUAUAAGUUUUAUUAUUUUAAUCUAUAAGUUUUUUUAUUUGUAUAUAAA
This is a long non-coding RNA of Humulus lupulus (European hop), 784 nucleotides long. RefSeq lists it as uncharacterized. The transcript is spliced from 3 exons. NCBI's taxonomy places the organism in Eukaryota, Viridiplantae, Streptophyta, Magnoliopsida, Rosales, Cannabaceae. The record is from RefSeq and is a predicted model, not a curated record.